Molecule: RNA transcript, 638 nt
Organism: Hibiscus syriacus
Lineage: Eukaryota; Viridiplantae; Streptophyta; Magnoliopsida; Malvales; Malvaceae
Gene name: protein DETOXIFICATION 24-like
Exons: 5
Source: RefSeq, a predicted model, not a curated record
AUUCUUUAAUUUUUCUUCUUCUUUUUCCCCUGCUCUAGUUUACUAAAAGCUCAAAUUAUAUGCAGCCUCAAUGUCAAUGCAGCGAGCUAAUGUUCUGCAUAGGCUUCCUUGGUGCAUCAAUAGUAAGGGUGGCCAAUGAAUUAGGAAGAGGGAAUGCAAAAGCAUUGAAAUUCUCAAUAAAAACAAUAAUGAGCACUUCGGUCUGCAUUGGGAUGACAUUCUUUGUUCUAUGCUUAGUGUUCUGGCAUCAAAUUGCUCACUUGUUCACCAGUACUGAACAAGUUGUACAAGUUGCAUCAACUCUCUCAACCUUCCUUGCCAUCUCAAUGUUGUUCAACAGCAUUCAAAUAGUACUAGGAGAUAAGUUGUAUAGCAAUUGGGGCAGGAUUCCAGAGUUUGGUGGCAAUGGUGAACAUGGGGUGUUAUUAUGGUGUGAGAGUGCCUGUUGGAGCUGUGCUUGGUUUUGUGUUGAACCUUCAAGUUAUGGGACUUUGGAUAGGAUUGUUUAGUGGAGUGGUAUUACAAACACUCAUUCUAGUGAUCAUAGUAUGGAGAACAAAUUGGGAUGAACAAGUUAAGAAGGCUUACGAACGUCUCAAACUUUGGCUUGUGGAGGAUGAGCAACAUAAUCAAUUAAU